GAUGAACGCUGGCGGCGUGCCUAAUACAUGCAAGUCGAGCGAACAGACGAGGAGCUUGCUCCUCUGACGUUAGCGGCGGACGGGUGAGUAACACGUGGAUAACCUACCUAUAAGACUGGGAUAACUUCGGGAAACCGGAGCUAAUACCGGAUAAUAUAUUGAACCGCAUGGUUCAAUAGUGAAAGACGGUUUUGCUGUCACUUAUAGAUGGAUCCGCGCCGCAUUAGCUAGUUGGUAAGGUAACGGCUUACCAAGGCAACGAUGCGUAGCCGACCUGAGAGGGGGGUCGGCCCCAACGGAAAGUGACCAACGUCCAGACUCCUAAGGGAGGGCGCAGUAGGGAAUCUUUCGCAAUUGGCGAAAGCCUGACGGAGCAACGCCGCGUGAGUGAUGAAGGUCUUCGGAUCGUAAAACUCUGUUAUUAGGGAAGAACAAAUGUGUAAGUAACUAUGCACGUCUUGACGGUACCUAAUCAGAAAGCCACGGCUAACUACGUG
Molecule: ribosomal RNA, 497 nt
Filed under: uncultured bacterium
Lineage: Bacteria
Description: partial 16S ribosomal RNA
Rfam family: Bacterial small subunit ribosomal RNA
Source: RNAcentral